AUCCAGAUUGAACUCCAUUUGCCAUUUUUAAGCCCAGUGAUCCAUUUGAUCAAAAUUUCUUUGUAAUCUUAGUAAAUAGUGAAGAAGGUUUUCUAUGCCACCAAUUUUGGUGUCGUCCACAAACUUACUAACUCGGCCUUCUCUAUCAAUUCCUUCCUGCUCCAUGAACUGAUUUCUCUGCUGAACUAAGUUAUUUAUACUGUUCACUUCAGUUUUCGUUUUGAGUACUAUUUUUAACAGUUCAACUUGUUGCAUCAAAUCAUUACCUGAUGAUGAGUAAUGUCCCUGUGCAAAUUAAAUUGUCAGCCUUUCAAAGAAUGAGAGAUGUUUCCAGGUUUCCUUCAUAAAUUUUUCAGUGUUAUUACUGUAAUGAUAAAUGAUUUUUUUCUCAAUAAUUUGAAAUUGAUUUGUGUUAUUGCAAAGCAUCAUUAAAUUUAAAUAAAUGUUGAAAAUAUCAGCAAGUCUGUAGGCAGCAUCUGGAGAGAGAGAGAGAGAGAAACAGAGUUAAUGUUUUGGGUCAAGGAUCUUCCUUCAGAACUAAAUUAAUUGAUUGAAAACAUAGAUUUUGUGUAAGUGAAAGGAAGGGGGGACAAUGAACAAAAAGGGAGCAUUAGUCUUCGGUACUGUUACCAGAAUGUCCAUGUUUUCAGCUGCUUUCUAAUGUUGUUUAGAUUGACUGACUGAAAACUGGGAACUGUGAUGUGAGAACUUAAGAAGACUGAGAUGGGUCAUCCACUUGGAACUUCCGGCUAAAGAUUGCAGCAACCGACUGCUGUAUGUGGAGAUUGAUGUGCCUACUUACCACCCACUGACUUUGAUUGCUGUAACUGGCUCAAACAGACAUAAUAUAUGCUCAGUGCCUCAAUGUUGCAAAAUGGUUCUGGGAAACUGGCUGUUUUGGUGUUUUCAUUUGCUUACCAUUCUCAUAGUUAUCUCCUUAGUCCUGGAACUCAAUGCAGUGCCCCUCUGGCCUUGACCAUUACAGUAUAUAAUUUACUCAAACUUUUUACUACUUAUAUCCCUCUCAUUUUCGAUAGCCCUCAGCUGGGGAAGCAGUGGCCAUUUUCUGGAUGCUUCCUGCAUAAAGUCAGCAACCAAAUAGAGAGACAAUCACUUGAUCUGUAUCCAAAAGAUGAUGCAUCCACAGUGAGAAAACUUGGUGAUGAGAGAUCUAGUCAGUUAAAGAUGAAAUGUUUUCACUUUUAAAUUGGGAAAACUACUAGUUUAAUUGAGCACAAAAUUAUAGAAUAAGAAAAUAUAACUAAACACUAUUGGUCCAAGUUGAAAUUUGGAUAGUUGCAUGAAGUUGCCUGUUCCAGUUAGUGAUUGCAUUAUCUGGAAUGGAUAAAGUUUAUCAACUUCUCAGCCAAUUCAGGAUACAAAAUGAUAGAAAAUCGAAGUGUAAGUAGGCCCUUCAAGCCAUCGAGCCUCUUUUUCCAUUCAGUAUGAUCAUAGUUGAUCCUCUACCUCAAUGCCAUACUCCCAUUAUCUAUCUAUACCCUUUGCUUUUAUUUUUCUAUUGAAACAAGACUUCUGUCCCAUCCGCAAAGGUAAUUAAAACAAACUCCAGGAAAUCAAAUUUGAUCGUAAUGUUCAAAUCAUAGUUCCAUCAAGUAUGCACUAACAUUAGCCAUUGCGAUGAAUGAUAUCACUUCCUUUUAUACUGCAUAUCCAGGUGUUUUGAAGUUUUCAUUAUGUAGAACGUUACUAUUUAACUAGCCUUAUGCAUAUAGUUUACAGACAGAAUUUACUUUUUGCCCUUAUUUCUCUCUGCUAAAUGUCAUAUCCCCCAGGAUUCAUUCACAAUUUUUCAGAACUUGGCUGAAUAUCCCAACAUAGAGUUCUCAAGUUAACCACCACCUCUCCCAAACGUCUUGAUAACCAAGAGUAUUUAAGCUUAUGAUCAUUCUAGUGGCUGACAUUGAGCAGGAUAAAUUUAAAGUUCAAAUACUAAUUGGCCUAUAGGUAGCCUCUCUGCAUCCCAGCAAUCGUUUUUGUGCAUGUUCUGUCUUUCUCAUUCUCUAGCUCUUGCUCUCUUUUUCUUGUUCUCACUUUCGUGAAAUAAAUAGGUAUGGUUAUCUACUUCAGUUCAACAUUGCAACAGAUCCAUUGCUGAAAUAUUAAACCUGUCUUUUCUUUCUGCCCUUUAGAUGUUGAUGGACCUACCAUAUGGCUUCAACAUUACCGCCACUUAUUACGCAUUUGGACAAAAAUUCUGCAUUUGCAUUCUGAGCAUAAAAUAACAACUCUAGGUUUAAUGGAUAUUAAUUUCAUAAAGUUUUCCUGAAAUUUAUAAAAAAAAAAUCUAACUUUUCUAUUUCCAGCCAAAACAAUGUAGUUCUGUGAUUUGGUAUUUUUGGCAUCUAAAUAUAUAUCCAUCAAAAUACUAGGGAAAAGGUAACCUGACUUUAAAUCAAAUCAUAAGUAGUGUGAGAACUUAGAAACCUAGCAAUGACUGGAUAAAAAAGCUUUGCAUUAAGCUGCUUGCGUUGAUCUGUGGAAGGUGCAGUGAGUUAUAUUAUUGGUGGGUUUCUAUCUGUGAGAUGACUCCAACCAUUCUAUGAACUGAAAGUUUGAAUAAUCAGCUGGAGUUGUGACUGUGGCUAUGAUAACAUCCUUGACUGUGCGUUACCUGUUAACUCCAUGCUUGCUGAGGGAAGUUAAGAGUCCACCAUGUUUCUGUGCAUUUGGAGCAACAUGAGGGCCAGACCAGAUCCCUGCACAGCUUCAAGUUGAUGAGAUGUUGAUACAGUGAAAUCAAGAUGAGUCAAUCCCAGGUGAUCUAUCCACACUGGGAGAUUCCAGAGAGCAGAGAACAAUCCUCAACUCAAUUUGUCUACAAAUUCACUGCCCACACGAAACAAAUCCCUAAGGAAAUACAAAGUAAAGCUGCAAAGUGUGAAAAAAUGUCUGUCUUCAUGUUUUUUGUGUUCUACUCCUGCUACAUGCGAUGUUUGUUUGUCCCCAGUUUUCCCACUAGCUGUGUUGACUUCACUUUCUCUCUGCUCGAAAACACUAAAUGUUCUCAGAGGUGUUCUUGCAGUUUGGAUGGUCCUCACGCACAAAGAGAUUCUGACGAUGGAUUGCCCAGAGCUCGGAGAAUUCUCACACUAGCCUGCACUAACGCUAUUCCAAUUAGCUGCCCCUGUCACAUGACAAUCCUAUUGGAUGCCCUAUUCUGCUGAUGACAAUAGCUGACAUCCUGACACAAACAGGAUGAUGGGUUUUCCAAAUUAGACUCAUUACAAUUUCACUGUAUUUACAUGGGAGCCACAUGAGUAAUAUUCAUACACCAACAACUUGCAUUGAUAUGGCAUCUUUAACAUAGUAACAUAACCCAGAGCCAUUCAUAGGUGCAUUAACAAACAAAGUUUAUCAUUGAACCACAUAAAACAAUAUUAAUUGAACCCAAAUCUUGCUCAACACUUACAAAAGGAUGACAGAGAGGUUUUUGCAGGGUUCAGAAUUCAGAAUUCCAGAGUUUAGUGACCAGACAGUUGAGGAAAUGUCACUGAUGGUGUAAUAGAAGUUGGGGGAUGCUCAAGAAUCCAGAAUUACAGCAAUGCAAAUAUUUCAGAGAGAUUAAGGACUGGGGUACACAGAAAUACAGAAGGAUGUAGUCAUGGGUGGAUUUGAAAAGAAGGGUGUGAACUUUGAAACCAGGAUGUUGGUUACCUGGGAGCUCACAUCAGUCAACAGGUGCCCAAGACUUGGUGAGGGAUAGGAAAUAGGUGACGGAGAUAUUGAUGACCACAUGUUUACAGAGGGUAGAAUGUGAGUGCACUGGAAUAGUCAUGUGGAGAAGGUAUGGCUGAGGGUUUCAGCAGCAGAUCAGCUGAUGCUAGGGAAAAGUCAGGUGAUGUGGCAGAGAUGGGAAUAGACAGUCUCUGUGACAGAGUCUAGAUGCAAAUUCACAACAAGUAGCAAGGCUCCACACAUCAGGUUAUAAAAUGGAAAAUAAAUCAGAGAGUGUGCAGAAAAGAUUGACAUGAUGUGUCCAAUGUCAGUGACAGAAUAUUUGGGAGAUAGUGGUUAUUUGGUGGGAGUGAGGGAUGGCUGUGGAAAGGAUAAUGAAUAAUCCAGAGUAACAACUGGCAUUUUAAGUGCUCAUCCAGACAUUUCUUAAAUGUUGAGAGAGUACCUGUCUCCACUAUGCUCUCAGAAACAAAAUAAACUUCAGAUGCUGGAAUCCAAGGUAGACACGUAGGAGGUUGAGAGAACAUAGCAAGCCAGGCAGCAUCAGGGGAGCUGCAGAUGAAGUGGGUGGCGGGGACAGGAUGGUGAGGUGGGCAUAGAUGAAGACAGGUGGAAGAUACGAGCUGGUUGGUCGAUGGGGGGAAUGAAUCUGCUAGGUGGCUGGGAGGAGUGGAAGGGAAGGGGAGAGGCAGGGAAGGGAGCCGAGGGGAAGGGAAGGGAAGGGAAG
Chiloscyllium plagiosum (whitespotted bambooshark) is the source of this 4423-nucleotide non-coding RNA. Lineage: Eukaryota; Metazoa; Chordata; Chondrichthyes; Orectolobiformes; Hemiscylliidae. The record is from RefSeq and is a predicted model, not a curated record.